This 228-nucleotide ribosomal RNA is filed under the name Triticum aestivum (bread wheat). RNAcentral's name for it is "partial small subunit ribosomal RNA". The record is from RNAcentral. Lineage: Eukaryota; Viridiplantae; Streptophyta; Magnoliopsida; Poales; Poaceae.
AUGCGGCGGGAAGAAGUGGCAUUUAGAAGUGUUGCUGACUUUACAUUUAGGUUUCGGCAUAACAAAGCUUGCACUAUCUUUUCGCACUUAGGCGCACAACGUGUCAUUGGUAAUGAUUCUACUACGGUGCUGCAAAUUCGCAAGCUGAUCCUAAGUAAUCGUUGUUGUUCAUUGGAUUCCUCCGGAAUUACUUCGUUAGGAUUGAAGAAUUGCAGCAAUUCUUCCUGA